Molecule: small RNA, 75 nt
Filed under: Flavobacterium sp. 120
Lineage: Bacteria; Pseudomonadati; Bacteroidota; Flavobacteriia; Flavobacteriales; Flavobacteriaceae
Description: Flavo-1 RNA
Rfam family: Flavo-1 RNA
Source: RNAcentral
UAUUUGCGUGAGGGAUAAAAGUGGAAAUCCUCCCGAUUUUUCUUCGGGAGAUUGCAGCGGAUAGCCCGACCCGAU